CCGAGCAUAACUGCCUCAUUGAGUUCCCCAUUCUCUCCGUCUGUCGUGCCGUCUCCGUCCUCCAAAACAUCGCCGCCACUGUCGUCACAAGAGCUUCUUGAUUUGAGCUUACGAUAGGUUUUGAAGUAUUUCUUUGUGGUAACAAGAGCUUCUUGAUUCAGGAUCUCCGUAAGUGAUUUCAAUGCUAGGGAACUCUUAUCCCAAUGCUGGUGGUCCACUUUUACAAAGCCAUGUUAUGGGUAUGUUGAAUGAUGUAAACUCGAGUGAUAAUUCUCCUUUUGACAUGAAUGACUUCCCUCAACUGACUAGUCGACCUAGGUCUGCUGGAGGGCCUCAAGGACAAUUGGGUGCAAACGAAGAUUUCCCAGCUUUGCCAGGAUUUAAAGGUGGCAAUGCUGAUUAUGCUAUGGAUAUGCACCAGAAAGAAUAGCUUCAUGACAAUGCUGUACCAAUGAUGCAAUCUUAACAUUUCUCGAUGGGGAGGCCUGCUGGUUUUAGCUUGGGGGAACAUAUUCAUCACAUCGUACAACAACAUGCUCCUUCGGUGAGUAGUGGUGGAGUCUCAUUUUCAUCUAUAAAUAACCAGGUUCUUCUCCAUCUACAUGGAUAAGAUAUUUUUCCAUCUACGCAUUCAACUUAUCAUUUGCAAGUGGACCUCCUGGGUCGGAUUAAGGCCAUUAAAUUCUCCAAAUACAGUCUCUAGUAUGGGUCAGUAUGACCAAAUCCUCCAGCAGUAUCAAUAGAACUAGAAGCAGUCGCAGUUCUACCUUCAAAUGUCAACCGUAAAUCAGUCGUUUUGGGAUCAGGGCAUGAAAGCUAUGCAAACUACACAAUCCACACCAUAUCCAUUUGGUUUGCUUGGCUUGUUAAGUGUGAUUAGGAUGAGUGAUCCAGACUUGACAUCUCUUGCACUUGGAAUUGAUCUUACUACACUUGGAUUAAAUUUGAAUUCAUCUGAAAAUCUACACAAGACAUUUGGGUCUCCAUGGUCCGAUGAACCUACAAAGGGUGAUCUAGAGUUUAAUGUGCCACAAUUUUAUUACGCAAAGC
This is a long non-coding RNA of Arachis duranensis, 1050 nucleotides long. RefSeq lists it as uncharacterized. Lineage: Eukaryota; Viridiplantae; Streptophyta; Magnoliopsida; Fabales; Fabaceae. The transcript is spliced from 4 exons. The record is from RefSeq and is a predicted model, not a curated record.